This is a small nuclear RNA of Capsicum annuum, 161 nucleotides long. RefSeq annotates it as U1 spliceosomal RNA. The transcript has a single exon. The record is from RefSeq and is a predicted model, not a curated record. Lineage: Eukaryota; Viridiplantae; Streptophyta; Magnoliopsida; Solanales; Solanaceae.
AUACUUCCUUAGACAGUGUCAAUGGUAGGUAAAAAGGUCCAUGCCCUAGGUUGGUGCCUCCAUUGCAUAUAUUUUAGGGCUACCAGCCUAUGGCUAACUCUAGUAAAUGACUCUACAUCAUAAUUUAUAAUAGAAGGGGAUUGAGUUCGUGUAGACUCUAC